GGUCCUGUAGCUCAGCCAGGUUAGAGCACUACUCUGAUAAGGUAGGGGUCCGCAGUUCGAAUCUGCGCAGGACCA
RNAcentral lists this transfer RNA (75 nucleotides) under Candidatus Pacearchaeota archaeon. Its description in RNAcentral is "tRNA-Ile". It matches the Rfam family "tRNA". From Rfam's summary of the family: Transfer RNA (tRNA) molecules are approximately 80 nucleotides in length. Their secondary structure includes four short double-helical elements and three loops (D, anti-codon, and T loops). Further hydrogen bonds mediate the characteristic L-shaped molecular structure. tRNAs have two regions of fundamental functional importance: the anti-codon, which is responsible for specific mRNA codon recognition, and the 3' end, to which the tRNAs corresponding amino acid is attached (by aminoacyl-tRNA synthetases). tRNAs cope with the degeneracy of the genetic code in two manners: having more than one tRNA (with a specific anti-codon) for a particular amino acid; and 'wobble' base-pairing, i.e. permitting non-standard base-pairing at the 3rd anti-codon position. The record is from RNAcentral. Lineage: Archaea; Nanobdellati.